GAUGAACGCUGGCGGCGUGCCUAAUACAUGCAAGUCGAGCGAACAGACGAGGAGCUUGCUCCUCUGACGUUAGCGGCGGGCGGGUGAGUAACACGUGGAUAACCUACCUAUAAGACUGGGAUAACUUCGGGAAACCGGAGCUAAUACCGGAUAAUAUAUUGAACCGCAUGGUUCAAUAGUGAAAGACGGUUUUGCUGUCACUUAUAGAUGGAUCCGCGCCGCAUUAGCUAGUUGGUAAGGUAACGGCUUACCAAGGCAACGAUGCGUAGCCGACCUGAGAGGGUGAUCGGCCACACUGGAACUGAGACACGGUCCAGACUCCUACGGGAGGCAGCAGUAGGGAAUCUCCCGCAAUGGGCGAAAGCCUGACGGAGCAACGCCGCGUGAGUGAUGAAGGUCUUCGGAUCGUAAAACUCUGUUAUUAGGGAAGAACAAAUGUGUAAGUAACUAUGCACGUCUUGACGGUACCUAAUCAGAAAGCCACGGCUAACUACGUG
This 497-nucleotide ribosomal RNA is filed under the name uncultured bacterium. RNAcentral describes it as "partial 16S ribosomal RNA". It matches the Rfam family "Bacterial small subunit ribosomal RNA", at positions 28 to 507 of the family's 1533-position model. The record is from RNAcentral.